UCAUAACAUAUGAUAUGCCCAUAAUGCAAUUGACAACAACUAGCAUUUGGCAAGACAUAAGAAGGUUGCUUUUUUUGCUCGGAUUGAAUAAUAAUAAUAAUUCAACCAUGUGGGCUGCCUAUACUCAAACAAAAUACAUCUCAUAUUUUCACUAAUGUUUUAUUUUGUGGGUUAUUGUCACGUCCCAAACCCGGGGUCGGUAAUAAAAACUCGAACCCGAAUCCAAAACGUGAGUUAAAAGCUCAAUAAAUAAAAGGAAAUUGACAUGGUUUGAAAAAAAUGAACUUCUCUUAUUAAAAUAAUUCAUGAUUCUUAAACAAAUCAAGAAUUCUUUACAACAUAUAGUAAAUAAAUGAAUAAACUUUCUCUACUCCCAUCUAAUCCAAUCUCAUCCUGCCUACCCUCUUGAAUGUCUAGUUCGUAAACCUGCAUAACAAUAGAGGGAUGAGCUUUAACAGCUCAGUAGGGACAUAACCUUAUCACAGUAAAUUGACAAUAUUAAAUUAAGUGUCAUGAAAUCAUAUAGUCAAAUAUCAAAUCAUUAUUGAUAAUAAUGCAUGAAUGCAAUGCAACCUCUUCAACUACCCCCGUUAUUUAUAUAAUAAAACACGAGGACCUGCACGUCCCAUACCAUACAUUUUACCCCUGCAGCGGUGGUUCGAAUAUUCUAUUAUAGAAACUAACCCCUAUAUGAUAUCCCAAGUUCAUAAACCCCUUUUACUAGUCAUCUUAUCUAAUUCAUUGAUCUCCAGCCCAAAUCACCCACAUCAACAAUUCUCGUCGAUAUCCUAUUCUACUGUGCACAUCGGGCUAGCCAGGAACUGGUUUCAUAAUGAAUAGAUUCAACUACACAAAAGAUCCUUUCCAACUACCCUCAUUUCCAUACUUCCAAUCUGAAUACUGAAAUUCCCAACACAUCAACAUGAAUGAUGCAUAAAUAAUAUCAAUUUAUCUUCCACAUGUAUCAUAGUAUAUUCCUAACGAAUAGCAUUCCAGCAAUAAUUCCAUAUCCAAUAACAAGUAAACAUUUAACUUAAGCAAUUAGCCAAUUAAUAUUCAAUCACAUUAAUCAACCAAAAAGAUCAAGAAUAUUAUAGCAAUUCACGAAAUUUAAUAAAAUUAAUUUCCGUAAAGGUCUUCCUUAUUUCCCCUACCUAGAUUCCAAAGCUAAAGCAAAGAUCCACCUCACUACCGAAUAGCUAAGCUUCACGUACUUAUCCAUAUCACUACCGAAAAUAGUUAAGUUCCACGUACUUGAGGAAACUCCCUGAUCGCUCUACUUUCUUUUAUUUUCUAAUCUCUCUAUAUGUAUGUGCGUAGGUAUGCAUACACGUAUGUGCGUAGGUAUGCAUACAAAUAUAUGCAUACAUAUAUAUCAUAUAGUAUGUGUACGAACAUAUCGUUAUAAAUAUAUAUAGACACUUAUAUAUAUAUAUAUACACACACAUACACACGUGAGUUGCAGAGCAUGCAUUGCAUGCUAGCUCUCCC
Molecule: long non-coding RNA, 1491 nt
Filed under: Malus domestica (apple)
Lineage: Eukaryota; Viridiplantae; Streptophyta; Magnoliopsida; Rosales; Rosaceae
Description: long non-coding RNA (MDOM_LNC011255)
Source: RNAcentral